UACGGAGGGUGCGAGCGUUAAUCGGAAUUACUGGGCGUAAAGGGUGCGUAGGUUGUUGAUUAAGUUGUCUGUGAAAUACCUGGGCUUAACCUGGGGGUGUCAGAUGAGACUGAUUGACUAGAGUACGGGAGAGGGUAGUGGAAUUUCCGGUGUAGCGGUGAAAUGCGUAGAGAUCGGAAGGAACACCAGUGGCGAAGGCGGCUACCUGGCCUGAUACUGACACUGAGGCACGAAAGCGUGGGGAGCAAACAGG
This 253-nucleotide ribosomal RNA is filed under the name uncultured Legionella sp. Its description in RNAcentral is "partial 16S ribosomal RNA". It matches the Rfam family "Bacterial small subunit ribosomal RNA", at positions 524 to 776 of the family's 1533-position model. Lineage: Bacteria; Pseudomonadati; Pseudomonadota; Gammaproteobacteria; Legionellales; Legionellaceae. The record is from RNAcentral.